Molecule: transfer RNA, 74 nt
Filed under: Rhipicephalus sanguineus (brown dog tick)
Lineage: Eukaryota; Metazoa; Arthropoda; Arachnida; Ixodida; Ixodidae
Description: transfer RNA isoleucine (anticodon AAU)
Rfam family: tRNA
About the family: Transfer RNA (tRNA) molecules are approximately 80 nucleotides in length. Their secondary structure includes four short double-helical elements and three loops (D, anti-codon, and T loops).
Source: Rfam by way of RNAcentral
AGCCUGCUAGCUCAGUCGGUUAGAGCAUCGUGCUAAUAACGCAAAGGUCGUAGGUUCGAUCUCUGCGCAGGCCA